GGUGGCUCAAUGGUAGAGCACUUGCCUUGCAAGCAUGAGGCCCUGGGUUCUAUUACUCAGCACCA
Molecule: non-coding RNA, 65 nt
Organism: Dipodomys ordii (Ord's kangaroo rat)
Lineage: Eukaryota; Metazoa; Chordata; Mammalia; Rodentia; Heteromyidae
Source: Rfam